AUUUGGACCAACUGACCAUUUGCAAGAAUUCACCUAAUGUUUUGUGUUUAAAGAGUGUGAGAGUUGGUUGAUUUGAAUAUGUGGAUGAUUGAUGAUGAGUGUAAGGGCAAAAAGAGUUGAGAUAGGCCUAGAGAAGCUAGAGUGUAAUAAGAGAGUGUGCUAAUUGUGUGUGCUAGUAGUGUUUCUUUUGGCUAUGAGCUCCCAACUUCAAACCUCUCUCCCUAU
This 225-nucleotide long non-coding RNA is filed under the name Brassica napus (rape). Its description in RNAcentral is "long non-coding RNA (BNAP_LNC013150)". The record is from RNAcentral. Lineage: Eukaryota; Viridiplantae; Streptophyta; Magnoliopsida; Brassicales; Brassicaceae.